This is a long non-coding RNA of Salvia miltiorrhiza (redroot sage), 619 nucleotides long. RefSeq lists it as uncharacterized. The record is from RefSeq and is a predicted model, not a curated record. The transcript has 2 exons. Lineage: Eukaryota; Viridiplantae; Streptophyta; Magnoliopsida; Lamiales; Lamiaceae.
UGUUUCAUGAAAUAUUAUGUAUAUGUGCAUGACGAGUUUGGGAUAUGUUUUGUGCAAAGUUUUCAUGAAAAUGAGUGAGUUAACCUAGAUAAGGCAUCAAGAUAAGCUAACGUAUGUAAAAUGCAUAAUCCCUAGUUCGAUUUUGCGUUGUAAGUCCGGAAAUAGGUUGACCUAGAGACCUUAAGUAGACAACGGUUUUCGUUAUCCAUGAUACGUGCUAAGUGUUAAGAACUCGUCUUGUAGGAAUUGGUCCACAGGACGGUGUCACAGCUUAAGAUCAUCUCUAUCUUCCGCACCGAAGAUCAGGUUGAUGGCUGGUGUUGACGGGGAGAGCUGAGGCUAGGGUUCAACUCCGUGUUUUGACUUCCGCUGUAGUACUAGCCUUUAUCUGUCUUUCGUUCUCUUGACUUAAGACCUUUAUGUUAUGACUCUAAACGAUAUCUUUUGUUGAGCCUAGACUUUUGACUCUCAAGUAUUUUGAUUAAGGAAUGUUGGUUAUCUGAAGCAUGAAACUAAACUUGUGAUCCUGACGUUUGUCAUGUUUGUUGAUUGAUUUGUAUCAAUUGGAUACUUGUCUUUCUUCAUCUAAAGGGGCGAUGCCCGAUUGUUAUCCCUUCAA